UGGGCAACCUGCCUCAUAGAGGGGAAUAGCCUUCCGAAAGGGAGAUUAAUACCGCAUAAGAUUGUAGCUUCGCAUGAAGUAGCAAUUAAAGGAGCAAUCCGCUAUGAGAUGGGCCCGCGGCGCAUUAGCUAGUUGGUGAGGUAACGGCUCACCAAGGCGACGAUGCGUAGCCGACCUGAGAGGGUGAUCGGCCACAUUGGGACUGAGACACGGCCCAGACUCCUACGGAAGGCAGCAG
This 238-nucleotide ribosomal RNA is filed under the name uncultured bacterium. RNAcentral's name for it is "partial 16S ribosomal RNA". It matches the Rfam family "Bacterial small subunit ribosomal RNA", at positions 118 to 354 of the family's 1533-position model. The record is from RNAcentral.